AAGAAAUUAGUUAAUUUAUAACAUUAGUAUGUCAUACUAAAAUUAUUAGAUAUAGCUAAUAUUUCUUU
This 68-nucleotide transfer RNA is filed under the name Mantis religiosa (praying mantis). RNAcentral's name for it is "tRNA-Asp". The record is from RNAcentral. Lineage: Eukaryota; Metazoa; Arthropoda; Insecta; Mantodea; Mantidae.